This 62-nucleotide transfer RNA is filed under the name Nigidius sp. NIG01. Its description in RNAcentral is "tRNA-Phe". Lineage: Eukaryota; Metazoa; Arthropoda; Insecta; Coleoptera; Lucanidae. The record is from RNAcentral.
ACUUGAAUAGCUUAUUAGAGCGUAAUAUUGAAGAUAUUAAGGAAAUUUAAAAUUUUUAAGUA